GCUGAGCAUGGUGGCGCACGCCUGUAAUCCCAGUGGCUCGGGAGGCUGAGGCAGGAGGAUAGCGAGUUCAAAGCCAGCCCUAGCCAUGGCGAGAUGCUAAGCAACUCAGUGAGACCCUGACUCUA
This 125-nucleotide small RNA is filed under the name Marmota monax (woodchuck). The record is from RNAcentral. Lineage: Eukaryota; Metazoa; Chordata; Mammalia; Rodentia; Sciuridae.